GGGGAAUAUUGGACAAUGGGGGCAACCCUGAUCCAGCCAUGCCGCGUGAGUGAUGAAGGCCUUCGGGUUGUAAAGCUCUUUUGGCGGGGACGAUGAUGACGGUACCCGCAGAAUAAGCCCCGGCUAACUUCGUUCCAGCAGCCGCGGUAAUACGAAGGGGGCUAGCGUUGCUCGGAAUCACUGGGCGUAAAGGGCGCGUAGGCGGACUUUUAAGUCGGAGGUGAAAGCCCAGGGCUCAACCCUGGAAUUGCCUUCGAUACUGGGAGUCUUGAGUUCGGAAGAGGUUGGUGGAACUGCGAGUGUAGAGGUGAAAUUCGUAGAUAUUCGCAAGAACACCGGUGGCGAAGGCGGCCAACUGGUCCGAAACUGACGCUGAGGCGCGAAAGCGUGGGGAGCAAA
This 399-nucleotide ribosomal RNA is filed under the name uncultured bacterium. RNAcentral's name for it is "bacterial SSU rRNA". It matches the Rfam family "Bacterial small subunit ribosomal RNA", at positions 356 to 772 of the family's 1533-position model. The record is from RNAcentral.